This is a long non-coding RNA of Strigops habroptila (Kakapo), 185 nucleotides long. RefSeq lists it as uncharacterized. The transcript has 3 exons. The record is from RefSeq and is a predicted model, not a curated record. NCBI's taxonomy places the organism in Eukaryota, Metazoa, Chordata, Aves, Psittaciformes, Psittacidae.
GCUCAGAAGGACACCACUAAUAUGCUUCUGGUACACCAGGCUUACAGAAGUUCUGGGGUUUUGUCCUCCUAGGCAGACCUCAAGCAGAAAUUUGCUUUCAACUUAUACUUGUCCAAAAUGGAUAAUACACUCAGUUUCUUAAACAAGUUGUCCCAUAUUAGAGACACACUAACUUGAGAGAGAGG